GAUGAACGCUGGCGGCGUGCCUAAUACAUGCAAGUCGAGCGAACGGACGAGAAGCUUGCUUCUCUGAUGUUAGCGGCGGACGGGUGAGUAACACGUGGAUAACCUACCUAUAAGACUGGGAUAACUUCGGGAAACCGGAGCUAAUACCGGAUGAUAUUUUGAACCGCAUGGUUCAAAAGUGAAAGACGGUCUUGCUGUCACUUAUAGAUGGAUCCGCGCUGCAUUAGCUAGUUGGUAAGGUAACGGCUUACCAAGGCAACGAUGCAUAGCCGACCUGAGAGGGUGAUCGGCCACACUGGAACUGAGACACGGUCCAGACUCCUACGGGAGGCAGCAGUAGGGAAUCUUCCGCAAUGGGCGAAAGCCUGACGGAGCAACGCCACGUGAGUGAUGAAGGUCUUCGGAUCGUAAAACUCCGUUAUUAGGGAAGAACAUAUGUGUAAGUAACUGUGCACAUCUUGACGGUACCUAAUCAGAAAGCCACGGCUAACUACGU
Molecule: ribosomal RNA, 496 nt
Filed under: uncultured bacterium
Lineage: Bacteria
Description: partial 16S ribosomal RNA
Rfam family: Bacterial small subunit ribosomal RNA
Source: RNAcentral